Molecule: ribosomal RNA, 1054 nt
Filed under: Chrysotila pseudoroscoffensis
Lineage: Eukaryota; Haptophyta; Isochrysidales; Isochrysidaceae
Description: SSU rRNA
Rfam family: Eukaryotic small subunit ribosomal RNA
Source: RNAcentral
GACAAUCUGGUUGAUCCUGCCAGUAGUCAUAUGCUUGUCUCAAAGAUUAAGCCAUGCAUGUCUAAGUAUAAGCGAGUAUACAGUGAAACUGCGAAUGGCUCAUUAAAUCAGUUAUGGUUUAUUUGAUGGUACCUUACUACUUGGAUACCCGUAGUAAUUCUAGAGCUAAUACAUGCAGGAGUUCGUGCGCGGUUCGUCCGCGCCGCGAUGUAUUUAUUAGAUAAGAGACCAACCCGCCUUGUGCGGUUGCGUGCCGAGUCAUAAUAACUGUUCGAAUCGCAUGGCUCUGACGCCGGCGAUGGUUCAUUCAAGUUUCUGCCCUAUCAGCUUUCGAUGGUAGGAUAGAGGCCUACCAUGGCGUUAACGGGUAACGGGGAAUUAGGGUUCGAUUCCGGAGAGGGAGCCUGAGAGAUGGCUACCACAUCCAAGGAAGGCAGCAGGCGCGUAAAUUGCCCGAAUCCUGACACAGGGAGGUAGUGACAAGAAAUAACAAUACAGGGCCAUCUUGGUCUUGUACUUGGAAUGAGUACAAUUUACAUCUCUUCACGAGGAUCAAUUGGAGGGCAAGUCUGGUGCCAGCAGCCGCGGUAAUUCCAGCUCCAAUAGCGUAUAUUAAAGUUGUUGCAGUUAAAACGCUCGUAGUCGGAUUUCGGGUCGGUUGCGCCGGUCUGCCGAUGGGUAUGCACUGGCGGAGUCGUCCUUUCUUCCGGAGACCGGGCCUCCUCUUAGCUGAGCGGGUUCGGGAGACGGAUCGUUUACUUUGAAAAAAUCAGAGUGUUUCAAGCAGGCAGCUCGCUCUUGCAUGGAUUAGCAUGGGAUAAUGAAAUAGGACUCUGGUGCUAUUUUGUUGGUUUCGAACACCGGAGUAAUGGUCAACAGGGACAGUCAGGGGCACUCGUAUUCCGCCGAGAGAGGUGAAAUUCUCAGACCAGCGGAAGACGAACCACUGCGAAAGCAUUUGCCAGGGAUGUUUUCACUGAUCAAGAACGAAAGUUAGGGGAUCGAAGACGAUCAGAUACCGUCGUAGUCUUAACCAUAAACCAUGCCGACUAGG